Molecule: ribosomal RNA, 253 nt
Filed under: uncultured bacterium
Lineage: Bacteria
Description: partial 16S ribosomal RNA
Rfam family: Bacterial small subunit ribosomal RNA
Source: RNAcentral
UACGUAGGUGGCAAGCGUUAUCCGGAUUUAUUGGGCGUAAAGGGAACGCAGGCGGUCUUUUAAGUCUGAUGUGAAAGCCUUCGGCUUAACCGGAGUAGUGCAUUGGAAACUGGGAGACUUGAGUGCAGAAGAGGAGAGUGGAACUCCAUGUGUAGCGGUGAAAUGCGUAAAUAUAUGGAAGAACACCAGUGGCGAAAGCGGCUCUCUGGCCUGUAACUGACGCUGAGGUUCGAAAGCGUGGGUAGCAAACAGG